Molecule: ribosomal RNA, 503 nt
Filed under: uncultured bacterium
Lineage: Bacteria
Description: partial 16S ribosomal RNA
Rfam family: Bacterial small subunit ribosomal RNA
Source: RNAcentral
AUUGAACGCUGGCGGCAGGCUUAACACAUGCAAGUCGAGCGGGGUGAUGGUGCUUGCACUAUCACUUAGCGGCGGACGGGUGAGUAAUGCUUAGGAAUCUGCUUAUUAGUGGGGGACAACAUCUCGAAAGGGAUGCUAAUACCGCAUACGUCCUACGGGAGAAAGCAGGGGAUCACUUGUGACCUUGCGCUAAUAGAUGAGCCUAAGUCGGAUUAGCUAGUUGGUGGGGUAAAGGCCUCCCAAGGCGACGAUCUGUAGCGGGUCUGAGAGGAUGAUCCGCCACACUGGGACUGAGACACGGCCCAGACUCCUACGGGAGGCAGCAGUGGGGAAUAUUGGACAAUGGGGGGAACCCUGAUCCAGCCAUGCCGCGUGUGUGAAGAAGGCCUUAUGGUUGUAAAGCACUUUAAGCGAGGAGGAGGCUCUUUUGGUUAAUACCCAAGAUGAGUGGACGUUACUCGCAGAAUAAGCACCGGCUAACUCUGUGCCAGCCGCCGCAGUAA